RNAcentral lists this ribosomal RNA (698 nucleotides) under Bacillus subtilis. RNAcentral describes it as "bacterial SSU rRNA". It matches the Rfam family "Bacterial small subunit ribosomal RNA", at positions 251 to 939 of the family's 1533-position model. The record is from RNAcentral. Lineage: Bacteria; Bacillati; Bacillota; Bacilli; Caryophanales; Bacillaceae.
GGUGAGGUAACGGCUCACCAAGGCGACGAUGCGUAGCCGACCUGAGAGGGUGAUCGGCCACACUGGGACUGAGACACGGCCCAGACUCCUACGGGAGGCAGCAGUAGGGAAUCUUCCGCAAUGGACGAAAGUCUGACGGAGCAACGCCGCGUGAGUGAUGAAGGUUUUCGGAUCGUAAAGCUCUGUUGUUAGGGAAGAACAAGUACCGUUCGAAUAGGGCGGUACCUUGACGGUACCUAACCAGAAAGCCACGGCUAACUACGUGCCAGCAGCCGCGGUAAUACGUAGGUGGCAAGCGUUGUCCGGAAUUAUUGGGCGUAAAGGGCUCGCAGGCGGUUUCUUAAGUCUGAUGUGAAAGCCCCCGGCUCAACCGGGGAGGGUCAUUGGAAACUGGGGAACUUGAGUGCAGAAGAGGAGAGUGGAAUUCCACGUGUAGCGGUGAAAUGCGUAGAGAUGUGGAGGAACACCAGUGGCGAAGGCGACUCUCUGGUCUGUAACUGACGCUGAGGAGCGAAAGCGUGGGGAGCGAACAGGAUUAGAUACCCUGGUAGUCCACGCCGUAAACGAUGAGUGCUAAGUGUUAGGGGGUUUCCGCCCCUUAGUGCUGCAGCUAACGCAUUAAGCACUCCGCCUGGGGAGUACGGUCGCAAGACUGAAACUCAAAGGAAUUGACGGGGGCCCGCACAAGCGGUGGAGCA